This 429-nucleotide ribosomal RNA is filed under the name bacterium. RNAcentral's name for it is "partial 16S ribosomal RNA". It matches the Rfam family "Bacterial small subunit ribosomal RNA", at positions 355 to 776 of the family's 1533-position model. The record is from RNAcentral.
UAGGGAAUCUUCCACAAUGGACGCAAGUCUGAUGGAGCAACGCCGCGUGAGUGAAGAAGGUUUUCGGAUCGUAAAGCUUUGUUGUUGGUGAAGAAGGAUAGAGGCAGUAACUGGUCUUUAUUUGACGGUAAUCAACCAGAAAGUCACGGCUAACUACGUGCCAGCAGCCGCGGUAAUACGUAGGUGGCAAGCGUUGUCCGGAUUUAUUGGGCGUAAAGCGAGCGCAGGCGGAAUGAUAAGUCUGAUGUGAAAGCCCACGGCUCAACCGUGGAACUGCAUCGGAAACUGUCAUUCUUGAGUGCAGAAGAGGAGAGUGGAAUUCCAUGUGUAGCGGUGGAAUGCGUAGAUAUAUGGAAGAACACCAGUGGCGAAGGCGGCUCUCUGGUCUGCAACUGACGCUGAGGCUCGAAAGCAUGGGUAGCGAACAAG